GGGGUUGUAGCUCAGUGGUAGAGUGCAUGCCUUGAAUGAAUGAGGCCCUGGGUUCGGUCUCCAGCACCA
Molecule: transfer RNA, 69 nt
Filed under: Ictidomys tridecemlineatus (thirteen-lined ground squirrel)
Lineage: Eukaryota; Metazoa; Chordata; Mammalia; Rodentia; Sciuridae
Description: Spermophilus tridecemlineatus (thirteen-lined ground squirrel) tRNA
Rfam family: tRNA
About the family: Transfer RNA (tRNA) molecules are approximately 80 nucleotides in length. Their secondary structure includes four short double-helical elements and three loops (D, anti-codon, and T loops).
Source: Rfam by way of RNAcentral